This 248-nucleotide ribosomal RNA is filed under the name uncultured bacterium. RNAcentral describes it as "partial 16S ribosomal RNA". It matches the Rfam family "Bacterial small subunit ribosomal RNA", at positions 1244 to 1500 of the family's 1533-position model. The record is from RNAcentral.
GAGAAGCAAUGCGGCGACGCAAAGCGGAACUUGAAAGCCUGUCUCAGUUCGGAUUGGAGUCUGCAACUCGACUCCAUGAAGCUGGAUUCGCUAGUAAUCGCGCAUCAGCCAUGGCGCGGUGAAUACGUUCCCGGGCCUUGUACACACCGCCCGUCAAGCCAUGGGAGCCGGGGGUGCUUGAAGUGCGUCGCCGCAAGGCGCGCCCUAGAGCAAAACCGGUGACUGGGGCUAAGUCGUAACAAGGUAAC